RNAcentral lists this ribosomal RNA (187 nucleotides) under Heterosigma akashiwo. Its description in RNAcentral is "partial Eukaryotic large subunit ribosomal RNA". It matches the Rfam family "Eukaryotic large subunit ribosomal RNA", at positions 174 to 357 of the family's 3401-position model. The record is from RNAcentral. Lineage: Eukaryota; Raphidophyceae; Chattonellales; Chattonellaceae.
GAGUAAAUAAUUGGGACCUGAAUACCCAAUCAUAGAAAGUGAUAAUCUUGUUUGAAUUGCAAGGAUGUAACGUUAUGUUUUUGUCUUUUUUCGAGUCGGGUUGUUUGGGAAUGCAGCCCUAAUAGGUGAUAGAUUUCAUCUAAAGCUAAAUAUAUCGAGGACACCGAUAGCGAAAAAGUACUGUGAA